RNAcentral lists this ribosomal RNA (253 nucleotides) under uncultured bacterium. RNAcentral describes it as "partial 16S ribosomal RNA". It matches the Rfam family "Bacterial small subunit ribosomal RNA", at positions 524 to 776 of the family's 1533-position model. The record is from RNAcentral.
UACGUAGGGAGCAAGCGUUGUCCGGAAUCAUUGGGCGUAAAGCGCGCGUAGGCGGCCCUGUAAGUCCGUUGUGAAAGUCAAAGGCUCAACCUUUGAAAGCCGAUGGAUACUGCAGGGCUAGAGUCCGGAAGAGGCGAGUGGAAUUCCUGGUGUAGCGGUGGAAUGCGCAGAUAUCAGGAGGAACACCAAUAGCGAAGGCAGCUCGCUGGGACGGUACUGACGCUGAGGCACGAAGGCCAGGGGAGCAAACGGG